This 155-nucleotide ribosomal RNA is filed under the name Mucor irregularis. RNAcentral's name for it is "5.8S ribosomal RNA". It matches the Rfam family "5.8S ribosomal RNA". From Rfam's summary of the family: 5.8S ribosomal RNA (5.8S rRNA) is a component of the large subunit of the eukaryotic ribosome. It is transcribed by RNA polymerase I as part of the 45S precursor that also contains 18S and 28S rRNA. Lineage: Eukaryota; Fungi; Mucoromycota; Mucoromycetes; Mucorales; Mucoraceae. The record is from RNAcentral.
AACUUUUAACAACGGAUCUCUUGGUUCUCGCAUCGAUGAAGAACGUAGCAAAGUGCGAUAACUAGUGUGAAUUGCAUAUUCAGUGAAUCAUCGAGUCUUUGAACGCAUCUUGCGCUCAAUGGUAUUCCAUUGAGCACGCCUGUUUCAGUAUCAAC